This 368-nucleotide long non-coding RNA is filed under the name Androctonus crassicauda. The record is from RNAcentral. Lineage: Eukaryota; Metazoa; Arthropoda; Arachnida; Scorpiones; Buthidae.
GAUAGGGUUGAUAUCGACAUUGAAGGGUUUUGACUGUGGCUCCCUGCGCUCAUUGUCGCGGUUGCCAGUUCGGGAGAGUUUUUUCCAUAACCUAGGGAUCACGUUUUCACUAUGCCCUAUUCGUGCUGCCUGCUCUAUGGUCCAGUUGGGCUCUUCCAUUUUACUGCGGUGUGUCGUGCAGUGCGUGUUUAUUCUAUAUAAGAGUGACCUGAAGGCCGCCAUCUUGGGGGUCCACGGUUCUUGGGACGUUGCUGGUAUGAAGAUUGGUGCAUGUGUGUGUUUGCGGUGCACACUGGGAUCGUGUUCACCUCCUACUAUCCUGGUUUUUGUGUCUAGAGGGUCAAUCUCUUGGCUGCUCUCUCGUUGCA